AUUGAACGCUGGCGGCAUGCCUUACACAUGCAAGUCGAACGGCAGCACGGAGCUUGCUCUGGUGGCGAGUGGCGAACGGGUGAGUAAUAUAUCGGAACGUACCCAAGAGUGGGGGAUAACGUAGCGAAAGUUACGCUAAUACCGCAUACGAUCUAAGGAUGAAAGUGGGGGAUCGCAAGACCUCAUGCUCCUGGAGCGGCCGAUAUCUGAUUAGCUAGUUGGUGAGGUAAAGGCUCACCAAGGCAUCGAUCAGUAGCUGGUCUGAGUGGACGACCAGCCACACUGGAACUGAGACACGGUCCAGACUCCUACGGGAGGCAGCAGUGGGGAAUUUUGGACAAUGGGGGCAACCCUGAUCCAGCAAUGCCGCGUGAGUGAAGAAGGCCUUCGGGUUGUAAAGCUCUUUUGUCAGGGAAGAAACGGUGAAGGCUAAUAUCCUUUGCUAAUGACGGUACCUGAAGAAUAAGCACCGGCUAACUACGUGCCAGCCGCCGCCGUAA
Molecule: ribosomal RNA, 500 nt
Filed under: uncultured bacterium
Lineage: Bacteria
Description: partial 16S ribosomal RNA
Rfam family: Bacterial small subunit ribosomal RNA
Source: RNAcentral